This is a non-coding RNA of Podarcis lilfordi (Lilford's wall lizard), 81 nucleotides long. The record is from the annotation of a GenBank genome assembly. Lineage: Eukaryota; Metazoa; Chordata; Lepidosauria; Squamata; Lacertidae.
UGGAGUGAAGGGCCGUAGCUCAGUGGUAGAACUUCUGCUCUGCACGCAGAAGGUCGCAGGUUCAAUCCCCGGCCUUUCCAG